CGUUGCGCGGUGAAAACCCUAGCCCAAUCCCUCGUCCCUCCUCUCCUCGAGCCCCGCGUCCCCUUCUUCGUGCUCGCCACCACCACCGUGUCGUCUCCUCCCCUUCGCGUUUCUUCUCCUCCCGCGUAGGAUCCAUGGCUCCAUGGCGGCUGCUGGCUCGAGGCAGGGGAGCGGCCGAUGCGGGGUCGGUUGGAUCGAGGCGGGGAGCGGCGGAUGCGGCGUCGGCGUCGGCGGCGGUGGCAGGAGAAGAGAGGCGGUGGCGGCGUCGACCUGCAAAGAGGCGAAAGGAGCAGUGGUGGCGGCGUCGAGCUGCGAAGAGGCGCCGCUCAGGCGCGAGACCAUGGAGGCGGGAGUGCCUGCUUCGGGCCCCGAUCUCGGAGGGUACGAGGCAGGGAAGGGCGACAUUGCCGGCGUCACAGCGCGUGGAGCCUGAGCCCCUGAUGAUGGGCGACGCCAAGGCCCCGCGACCGCGACAGGGAGCUCCUCAUCCGCCGUCUCCGGCGGCAGCGGCGGCGGCUCGGUCCCCCGCGCCGAGGACGACGACAACUUGGACAGUUCAUAGGAGUAGGGAUGUUGACCCUUGGCGAGUGUUUGUUGUGCUGAGGCUUACUAUUGGAUUGACUGGUCAAACUGGUGAUGAGCUUGAUCACUUUUUUGGUGCAAUUUGAGGGGUACUUGCCAUGCUGACAGAAAAUUCAGACCGGCGCCGAGAUUUCUUGUCGCGAGGAAAUCACGGGAGGAUGAGAUGAACCCGGACGAGGUCGCUGCAGUCAUUGGCGCCUCCUCCGCCGUGGGAGGCCAAGGGUGAGAGGAAGGAGGCGUCGUCAGCUCCAGAAGGACCGGCAGCCCUCCUCGUCAACGGCAUAUGCCGAGGUCGCUGCUGGUGCCGCUGACUCCGCACCAGCCUCCUUCAUCUCCCAACCAAGGCCAGCUCAACCCCUCAAGAAGAGCAGGGAUGCUCUCUUUCUACACCCAGCGUCCACACAACCAGAUCGACAAGGGUUUGGAUGGCCUGAUGAGAGCAGCCCAGUAGUUGUACCUCUGCAACUUCGGCAAUGUAUACAGUCAUCAGUACCAUCUCUUUACCGCACUUUUUACAUUUCAUUUUUUUGAGUUGUUUGAUUCAUUUUCUUUUCCAACUGAAUCAACUCUCGAGGUGGACGCAUAGCUCUCUAUAAGAAGAUCAAUCAUCGAUGACUUACUGAUUUACAAGGCACGUAAAAAAUAUAUACUUUCUAUGUGUUCUUUGGAUCAACUAAUGAGAAAACAGAUUGGGGGGAUAAGAGGCUAUUGGUGUUUAUUCCCCCUCCGCUCCCCUGCGCCGCUCCCUCUCCUCCGACCAUGGGCAGCAGCAGUCAGAGAACCAGGGGCAGCUGGUUUCAACGGGAAGCUACGUACUUAUAUGCCCCCACCAAUUUCAACGGAGAAAUAUGACCAGCGACAACUACUAAUAUCAGGUGGAUCCAAGGUUAUAUGAUUUGUACAUGGCGGUGUUACUGAACAGAAGGAGAAUAUAGGAAUCACCAACAGCCCUUCUGUAGUUCCAAGGAAGUGCUCAACCUAGACGUUGUUGGCCGAAGGAGGGGCGGAGCAGGUGCCAGUCAGGUAGGCGGCUCAAUGGGUGGGAGAUGGCAGCUGCCGAUCUCACAUGGCUCCUGCGCCCCACUACCCUCCCCUCCCCGGCUAAGUAGGAGGUUCGAGGGCAGCGACUAAGGAAGGAGCACAUCGGCGAUGAGGGCUAGCAACAGCAAGACGCAACUGUCAGGUGCUGUCGAUAUGCCACCACGUCGGCCCCUUCACGCGCGACCGCCGGGGUCUGGGCCUUUUUCUCAGCAAUGCGUAGUGUUUCCUUUAUUGUUGUUGUUUGUGUUGUCCUAGAUAUUCCUUUGCCAUAUGAUUUUUGAUCAUUUUCUCGCUCAUUCCUAGAGGAGCGCUAUGGAUAAUAUGAUUGCGAUGACUAAGAUACAUGCUUUUUGUUUACUUGGGAUCUGCUUCUCUUAAUUUUUCUGCAAUCCUUACUUUACACACUGGUAUGUUUUGUUGCCAGGCUCAGAUCGGCGAGACCCGUGCCAAUGCAUGAGGUACAAUAUUUUUCUUAUUUAUUCCUUUCAUACAUAUUGAGUUCAUUCACCCUAUUAUAUAUACUGAUUAAACAGUCACGCUCAUUUCUCAUGUUUAUGUUCAGGCCUAACCUCACAAAACUUUGGUAUGCACUCACGUAUAAUCAGGGCUUGCUUAUUUUAAUUGUUGAAUUCAUUUUAUAAAUAUUAUAUCAUUAUUAUUUGUAAUCAGUUUUUUGUUUAUGAUUUCCGAUUGGGUAAUAUCCCAUCAUACUACUAGGCAUUGGCCAGGUACUGGACUUUGGCUGGUUGUCAAUAUAAGCUUUGUGUUCUCCUUUGUUUUUACCUCAUUUAUAAAGUCCUUGAUUGAGCAUGCAUUUGAUUUCUAUGCCAACAUAGAUCUUAUUGCUCAUCAAAGGUAUCUAAAAGUUGUGUGCUCUGCAACAGAUGGGUUGUGUUAGUCAAUAGAAAUACCUAAUAUGUCAGUUUUGUUGCCAAAUAUUUUAAACACAUAUAUAUACAGAGUUCUAGAACAGAAGAUGAUCUGGUGGUUACCUUUCUGUUAUUUACUCGAAUGACUGUACGUAUAUCUUACCUUCAGACUUUAUCCGAUCUUGGUUAGUUUUCCAUCUCCAAUCAGAUUAAUGGUUUGCAUGCAGACCAAGCCCAGUGUUUUAUGGUGUUCUUAUUCCUGAUUUAGUUGUACAUUUGACUUUUAGUUUCUUCAUAGAUAAUAAAGUAGUGGCAGAUGAACCAGUAAGUUAUCUGUGCCCAUGCUUUGCUGUAAGCAUUAAAUUUGCUCUCUGCUUUUACUUUCGAUGUGUUAUCCGUACCCCUGUUUUUUGUGGCUAAUUAUUAUGCCUAUCAACAUAUGUAGAGUCCAUGGUAUCAUACGAUUUGAAGUUGAAAAAUUCAUGCUAUGUGUGAUACGGAAAAGUCAUUGCCUUCUUUGCUGGAACAUUUCCUAAGAUGAUCUAAGGUGGAGCAGCUAUGAAUAUCCUCGCUGAUCUAUGGAUCUAUCAUUGUAAGAGUCAAUGAUAUAUGGUCACUGCCGCGGAGACAGUGAAAGUGAGCACCACGCCGGUAUUCCCUUCAAUCCCGUGGGGGCAAGAGAACGAUGAUUUCGAGGUGCUGGUGCGUGUGGAGGCGCCGCCGGAGGCAAGCAGGCGAUCCCCCGUCGACCUAGUGGCCGUGCUGGAUAUCAGCAGCAGCAUGAAUACUCGGGCGGCGCCAUCCGAUGAGUCAUCGAGGCUGGAUCUGCUCAAACGAGCGAUGAAGUUCAUCAUCGGGAAGCUCGACAGCGGAGACCGCCUAGCUAUCGUGGCGUUCAACAACCAAAUCGUCGAAGAGUAUGGCACCAGGUUACUGGACAUGUCGUCCGGUGGCCGGAGAGAUGUAAGAAGGCGGGUCGAUGAGCUGACGGCGCGCGGCUCCACGGCGUUCCGGCCGGGCCUGUGUAAGGCGGUGAAGAUCCUCGACGAGAGAAGUGACGGAAGGAACCGUGCCGGCUUCAUCUUGUUCCUGUCGGAUGGAAAAGACAAGAGAGGAAUCAAGUGGAGCAUGGAAGUCGGGAUCAGCGCCGCGCUCCGGAAGUACCCCGUCCAUACCUUCGGCUUCAGCGGGUCUCACAAACCCAACGCGCUGCUCUUCAUCGCCCAGGAGUCGCGGGGAACCUACUCCUUCAUCAACGAGAACCUGGCCAGCAUCACCAGCGCCUUCGCCGUCUGCCUGGGCGGGCUCAAGAGCGUCGUCGCCGUCGACGAGCGCAUCAGCCUUGUGGCCCCGAAGCAUGGCGGGGUGCAGCUCAAGAGCAUCGACUCCGGUGGGUACGGGAGCCACAUCUCCGGAGACGGGGCGUCGGGCGAGAUCGUGAUCGGCGCGAUGUACGCCGGCGAGGUGAAGAACUUCAUCGUCCGCCUGCACGUGCCGUCGGUGGAUCUGGACAUCGGCAAUGGCAAAGUUGCCGUCUCAAAGCACCAGCUCCUGCUCACGGCCACACGCCACUUGCAUGCUGUCAAUGGGGUUGGGGAGAACGGCGGCAGCGCAUCACUGUCAGUCCAAAGGCCCGGAGCACUGGCCGUGCAGCAGCAAGUCGUUGCAUCCGCCUUGGUAGUGAACCACAUCGUCCGGUUCAGGUUGGUGGAGAUGGUGGCCAAGUUCGUCCAGGGCCUGGACAAGGUCGUCGCCACCAUUGAUCGCGUCAAGGCCGACGAGUUGCAGGGGAGGUGGGAGGAAUUCAAGGAAGCGCACAAGUUUUGGGGCGGCGUUGAGCUGUGGCGUUUCGAGGCCGACAUCAAAGUGAUGGUGACCGGCCUGCUGCACGGCGGCGGCCGAUCCGGGGUGGCAUACCUCUACUCAUGGGUGUCCAGCUACCAGAUGCAGCGGGCGACGACCAUGGGCUCCACGGAGAAGGUCGCCGCCGAGUUCCUCACGCGGGAGAUGGGUUUCAUGCUGAACGAGGCGCACAAAACUCCGGUUUGGCUUGUGGAAGAAGAGGACCCGUUUGUCCUUCGCAGCGACACCACUGACGAGACCGAAGCACCGCGUGGCUGCGGCAGGCGCGUCCAUGGCGUCCAACAUGACGUGAUCGACCCGCGGCUACAGAUGUGGUCCAAGCUGAAGCGCGAGGUGCCGCUCAUGUUCCGGCAGUCGGAAGAAACCGAGUCCCGCCAUCUCACCGCCGUCUUCCGCGAGGCGUCCCUCGAGACCAUCAACCGAGCAAUGCACCACGACAUAUAUCUGGCCGUGGUGCACGACCGCAGCCUGAGACGAUGCUACUCCGGCAACGCGUCGGAGCAGCGCGUGGAAUGCACGUCAACCACCGACCCAUGCUAGCUCAAGCACCGACGUGUUUUCACUUUGAAUUUGCAUUUCCUUUUUUCUUUUCUUCAUUUGCAAUUGUACUUUGCCGUGUCUUUAUUCUUGAGGACCCCUCCUCCUACCAGUUACUGGUGGAGUUGUGGAGAGCCGAAUAUUUUUCUUUUUGAGUCAAUUACACCACUGGUCCAUAAACAUGACGAGAAAAAUUAUUUUAGUGCUAAAACUUGUGGCAUACAGGGAACGGGUGUUAGAACUUGGCUCGGACGAUGCAAAUUGUGUUUGGAUAUGAAAACAAUGUUGACGAAGUUGGUGCGGGACCCACUGUCAACGACUGGAUGGUGGAGGUGGGGGUGUGGCCUGUCUUUUUGCGCACACACAAAAUGUGUCUUGGAGGUGGGGCUGUGGCCUGUUUUUUACACACACAAAAUGUCUCUUGAAGGUGGAGGUGUGGCCUGUCUUUUUACACAUGCAAAAUGUGUCUUCAGGGAACCAAACUCGAGACUCUUUGAUGUCCAAUAGAGAUAAAAAAGGCCUAAUGUACUAUAAUCAAGGCGCUAGCUGGGAUUCAAUGGAAUGUAGUUGUGCGGCCCAUUAAGAACAUGUUAACUUUUUAAGAUAUUGGCGAAAUGUAUGU
This is a non-coding RNA of Aegilops tauschii subsp. strangulata, 5514 nucleotides long. The record is from RefSeq and is a predicted model, not a curated record. Lineage: Eukaryota; Viridiplantae; Streptophyta; Magnoliopsida; Poales; Poaceae.